RNAcentral lists this ribosomal RNA (292 nucleotides) under uncultured bacterium. Its description in RNAcentral is "partial 16S ribosomal RNA". The record is from RNAcentral. RNAcentral also lists the same sequence under 1 other name.
GGACUACCGGGGUAUCUAAUCCUGUUUGCUCCCCACGCUUUCGUGCAUGAGCGUCAGUGUCGACCCAGGGGGCUGCCUUCGCCAUCGGUGUUCCUCCACAUCUCUACGCAUUUCACUGCUACACGUGGAAUUCCACCCCCCUCUGCCGCACUCGAGUCUCGCAGUCACAAACGCAGUUCCCAGGUUAAGCCCGGGGAUUUCACAUCUGUCUUACGAAACCGCCUGCGCACGCUUUACGCCCAGUAAUUCCGAUUAACGCUCGCACCCUACGUAUUACCGCGGCUGCUGGCAC